AAUGGAAUUGCUGGGUACUAUGGUAAUUGUAUGUGUAACUUUUAGAGGAACUACGAAACUGUUUUCUACAGCAGCUGCACCAUUUUACAUUCUACCAGCAGU
Molecule: microRNA precursor, 102 nt
Filed under: Marmota monax (woodchuck)
Lineage: Eukaryota; Metazoa; Chordata; Mammalia; Rodentia; Sciuridae
Source: RNAcentral